Molecule: unclassified non-coding RNA, 1302 nt
Filed under: Hevea brasiliensis (rubber tree)
Lineage: Eukaryota; Viridiplantae; Streptophyta; Magnoliopsida; Malpighiales; Euphorbiaceae
Source: RNAcentral
GGUUUUUUUUUUUUUUUUAAAUCUAAUUUUGCUAAAGCACCUAUUUGAGACAGGUACACUCGGCUAAUGAAAGGACUAGUGCCACGCAUAUUGGAACCCAUAAAACAUGAUUCCGCUUGCCCUCAAUUCCACUUCCACUAAUUUACAAGUUUGACCCCAAACCUUCACAAGAACCUGAAACCAAGGUAAGCCUUUUCAUUUUGUUUUGGUUUGAAUAUGAUUUGAUUUCCAUUUUUUGGCCUUUUUGGCUAAAAGUAAUCACUACAGAACUUAUGCAAAUUCCUUAUGUACUUCAAUGGAUUGAAUUCAUGUCAACUUCCAGCCUAACAACACCCAGAAAUUUAACAGAAUCAACUCUAACAACCAGUUGAAAUUUAUUGUCUAGCUUAUGCGUACUUGCAUAUAAUAGCUUUUAGAGAAGCUUUAUACAUUUCUACAGGUCUCCAGGCCCUGUACUUGCUAUUUGCUAAGUAAUUGUUGCCGUUUGAUGUGAUUUGGUCAGUGAGAAGUGAACUAUUGCUGUGCCAGGUUUAAUUAAAGUAUAGCAAUGCUGCCAAUGCAUCAAUAUGAUAUAAUUAUAUUCCUUAUAUGCGUAUAUAGAAUAGAUGACCAUAAAUGGCUGGCUGAGAUUUUGACGCUAGAAUAUAAUUCAAAACUAUGGAGUAAUGAGAAUCUAGGAUGGCCUGCAAGAAAAUAUAAAAAUAUUUACUUAAAAGAAGUGUUAAUUAGAUUUUCUAUUUUCAUUUGAUUGUUUAGUUUUCUACUUUUUUUAAUAUGAGAUUUAAUUCCUAAUAGAAAAUUUAAUUCUUUAAUGGUGACAUUUGGAUGAAUUUAAUUUGACUUUAAUGUACUGAAUUUAUAGGCAAAUAUGUUGUCAAAUUAAUUUUUCCUUUAGUAACAUACUUCCAUUUUUCUAAUUAAAUUUUUUUUCUCAGAAUUUUCAAAGUUAUGUCAACCAACAAUUGGAGAGUAGCAUCUAUAUUGUCUAAUUAAUGUUGAUGAAAUGUAUGUCUUGGACAAAAUCAUAGAGCUAGGUUAAUUUGCAAUAGUUAAUUAACAUUUUGUAGUUUGUAUAUUUUUAUUAAUGUUGAUGAAAUAUAUAUUUUGGACAAAAUCAUAGAACUGUAUUAUGGAGAUGCAAAGGAACUCUACUUCAGGGACUGUAUAUUUAUUUACUAUUUAAUUUUUCUUAUUAUAAACUAUAACUUUUUAAUGAUUAUGUUAGUUUAUUUUAAUUUUUAUCCUUUUUUAAUGAUAUUUUUUUAUACUUAAUUUUUAAAUGUAUAUGUGGGUGGAUUUUUU